UCCUUCGAGGGGGAUGGAGCAGGCACGGU
RNAcentral lists this small RNA (29 nucleotides) under Bombyx mori (domestic silkworm). RNAcentral describes it as "ovarian small RNA-1458". The record is from RNAcentral. Lineage: Eukaryota; Metazoa; Arthropoda; Insecta; Lepidoptera; Bombycidae.